This 75-nucleotide transfer RNA is filed under the name Caudoviricetes sp. Its description in RNAcentral is "tRNA-Gly". It matches the Rfam family "tRNA". Rfam says of the family: Transfer RNA (tRNA) molecules are approximately 80 nucleotides in length. Their secondary structure includes four short double-helical elements and three loops (D, anti-codon, and T loops). The record is from RNAcentral. Lineage: Duplodnaviria; Heunggongvirae; Uroviricota; Caudoviricetes.
GCGAUUGUAGUUCAGCGGUAGAACGUCGUCUUCCCAAGCCGAAUGUCGCCGGUUCGAAUCCGGUCAGUCGCUCCA